Molecule: long non-coding RNA, 304 nt
Organism: Arachis duranensis
Lineage: Eukaryota; Viridiplantae; Streptophyta; Magnoliopsida; Fabales; Fabaceae
Exons: 2
Source: RefSeq, a predicted model, not a curated record
CCGAGUUGGGUAGCGCCAACUUGUGACCCAAGUGGGGGCUUUAAGGUGAUGGAACAAGUGCUGUGGUUAGCUGGGUUGGGCCUGAAGUUGCUCUUUGCUGGCCUGCCCACUCCAAGUUGAGAGUUGAGCCUGGUGGUCUGGGCGAAGGCUCGGGCUUCUUGGUUCCUAAAUUGGAGGGCAAUGCGUGAGGCUGGUUUCACAGAGCGACGAACACUUCCUGCUUCCAAUAGUGGAGGGAUAACAGGCCGUUGCAUCUGCAGCCCACGAUAGCCCGGUGGGCCUAGUUACUUGAACCAUCACUUUU